RNAcentral lists this ribosomal RNA (301 nucleotides) under uncultured bacterium. Its description in RNAcentral is "partial 16S ribosomal RNA". It matches the Rfam family "Bacterial small subunit ribosomal RNA", at positions 509 to 807 of the family's 1533-position model. The record is from RNAcentral.
CAGCCGCCGCGGUAAAACGAAGGGGGCUAGCGUUACUCGGAAUUACUGGGCGUAAAGGGCGCGUAGGCGGCACGAUUAGUCAGGCGUGAAAUUCCUGGGCUCAACCUGGGGACUGCGCUUGAUACGGUCGAGCUAGAGGAUGGAAGAGGGUCGUGGAAUUCCCAGUGUAGAGGUGAAAUUCGUAGAUAUUGGGAAGAACACCGGUGGCGAAGGCGGCGACCUGGUCCAUUACUGACGCUGAGGCGCGACAGCGUGGGGAGCAAACAGGAUUAGAUACCCGAGUAGUCCCUGUCUCUUAUAC